AUGCAUCUCUGACAGAUCUGGAGCAGUUAAUGUCUUUUGCUAAGGUUUCCACUACAGAUUCAAGAAAAAGAAGGUCCUCGCAGUUUCUGUCUGUCUGGUUGUGGCAGCGAAGAUUGAAUGGGGGAAUAUAGGA
This 133-nucleotide small nucleolar RNA is filed under the name Dasypus novemcinctus (nine-banded armadillo). Its description in RNAcentral is "Small nucleolar RNA SNORA31 (ENSDNOG00000044021.1)". The record is from RNAcentral. Lineage: Eukaryota; Metazoa; Chordata; Mammalia; Cingulata; Dasypodidae.